Molecule: ribosomal RNA, 200 nt
Filed under: uncultured bacterium
Lineage: Bacteria
Description: partial 16S ribosomal RNA
Rfam family: Bacterial small subunit ribosomal RNA
Source: RNAcentral
AACGAACGCUGGCGGCAGGCUUAACACAUGCAAGUCGAACGCCCCGCAAGGGGAGUGGCAGACGGGUGAGUAACGCGUGGGAAUCUACCUAGUUCUGCGGAACAACAGUUGGAAACGACUGCUAAUACCGCAUACGCCCUACGGGGAAAGAUUUAUCGGAAUUAGAUGAGCCCGCGUAAGAUUAGCUAGUUGGUGGGGUA